Molecule: ribosomal RNA, 292 nt
Filed under: uncultured bacterium
Lineage: Bacteria
Description: partial 16S ribosomal RNA
Rfam family: Bacterial small subunit ribosomal RNA
Source: RNAcentral
GUGUCAGCCGCCGCGGUAAUACAGAGGGUGCGAGCGUUGUCCGGAAUCACUGGGCGUAAAGGGCGCGUAGGCGGCCUGGUAAGUCGGGGGUGAAACGCUGCGGCUCAACCGCAGCACUGCCUUCGAGACUGUCAGGCUUGAGCACGGUAGAGGCUGGUGGAAUUCCCGGUGUAGCGGUGGAAUGCGUAGAGAUCGGGAAGAACAUCGGUGGCGAAGGCGGCCAGCUGGGCCGUUGCUGACGCUGAGGCGCGACAGCGUGGGGAGCAAACAGGAUUAGAAACCCCCGUAGUCC